Molecule: long non-coding RNA, 484 nt
Organism: Homo sapiens (human)
Lineage: Eukaryota; Metazoa; Chordata; Mammalia; Primates; Hominidae
Source: Ensembl
CGCCCGCCGGAGCGCAGCAUCGCCUCCGGCCAGGAGUGUGCAUGCGUGGGACUGUCUUCUUGGACCUGGACAGGGUGGAACAGAGGAGGAAGGACAUCUCAGGUGGUCUUUACAGACCACUGCAGGCACCCACCCACUGCUGCCUACCACCCAGCAGCGUGGCACAGUGGCAGAGACACAGCCUGAAGACACAUCACCUUGGUCCAAAUCCUGGAGUGGCCACUUGCUGGACAAGUGUCUGCAGGAAGGUUUUUUAACCUCUCAGUACCUCGGUUUCCUCCUUUAUAAACUGGAGAUGAAUUUAUAAACUGGAGCUGGGUGUGGUAACAAGCUCCUGUAGUCCCAGCUACUCAGGAGACUGUGGAUCGUUUUGAGCCCAGGAGUUUGAGGCUGCAGUGAGUUGUGACUGUGCCACUGCACUCCAGCCUGGGCAACAGAGCAAGACCCUAUCUCUAAAGAAAUAAAAAUAAAUCUAUAAUGGGAA